Molecule: long non-coding RNA, 2882 nt
Organism: Brassica napus (rape)
Lineage: Eukaryota; Viridiplantae; Streptophyta; Magnoliopsida; Brassicales; Brassicaceae
Exons: 2
Source: RefSeq, a predicted model, not a curated record
UCAAAACUACACUAUUUUAGUGUAAUUUCAACACUAAAACCAAAGUCUUCUCCAACCAUAACACUAAACUUCACACUAAAACUAUUUUAUAAUAUUAUAUGUAUUAAGUUUUCUCCAACCCAUAACACUAUUUUAGUGCCAAAAUUACACUAUUUUAAUGUAAUUUUAGCAUUAAAAUUUUUUGCAUCUCCAACCACAACAUCAAAUAUCACACUAAAAAAAUAUUCUUCACUAUUAUAUUAUUAAUCAAGAUUCUUUUUAUUUUUUUUUUGUUUUAAUAAAUACUAAUUAUUUUAUGAGUAAAAACUGUUAACUAAUUUAAAACUAUAAUAAUAUAAUAUUUCUAUUUUAAGUAUGAAUAUAUUAUAUAACAGUUAUAUUAAAGUAUUAGUUUUAUUUUGUAAUUUAAUUUGCUUAAACUAAACUUUGUUAUAUAUUUUAUUUAUAAUAUCUGAUAUAAUUAUAAAAUAGUAAUAUAAAUUAAAUGUAAUCAAUUUUAGUUAGACAAUAUUUAAAUGAACAGUUUUGAUUUGAUCAAAAAAACAAUUUUGAAAAAAAAAAAUUUGCCGUUAGCUACAGUGCAUCACCAAAUAUGGUGUGACACUGUAGCAUAACACUAUAAUGCAGUUGUGUUUAACGUCCGGUUGGAGAGAAGAAACGUCAAAUUAUGCAUUAUUAUACCGUUUAAGCGUCCGGUUGGAGUUGACCUUAGAAAAGAAGAAGAAAUGCAUUUUUUGUUGCUAUCUUAGUCAAACAGCAAAUACUUUUAUGCCCUUGCCCAUGAUGGUAAGUGCUAACCAAGUCUUCAUCCUUAAAAGAUACAUAAACAUAUAAAACUUAAGAUCUGGAAAACAUAAAUUAUUCCAAUUCUGGUUACUCCCACUAAUGGACUUGUUAGUUACUUGCUAGGGCCGGUGCGUAAGCAAGUGACAAAUUAAAAAAGAAAAUCUUCAAUGUUGCAGAUAAUGUAAAAAAUCUUAUACACCCAAUGAUACUAUGCCAAGUGUGGAUAUGCCACAUGAUUCGAUGGACGAUAUUUUUUUGCCUUGCUUUCCAGUUUCACCAUCGUUGAUAUAACAUCAAAGAUAAUAUCUAUGUGAUUAGUAGCACAAUGUAAAUCAUAAAAGGUUGAAGUGGCUUCUUCCAUUGCUAACUAGACAUCCUGAAGCAAUAACCGAUUAAGAAUAACAAUUCACUUAGAUCACUGAAUGUUCGGGCAAGGAUCAAGGGAUAACUUUGGAUCGGGUCGACGUGGAAUCGGGUUGGACUGUUUGGAUAAGGUUCCGAUACCAUGUUAAACUAGAUAGGCUUCCAACCUAAAAUCAACUGGUGAUAAGUGGAAUGACACAUUUAUCUUAUAUAUUGAGUAUGACCUCUUUUAACUAUUGAUGUGGGAAACUUAGUCUUUAAUAAUAACAUGUAUGCUUAAUUUACAUGUUUCUCUGUAAUGCUUAUUCGUCAGUGUUUCUAAAUGAAUGGACGGCAUGCUCAUGUUCAAGAGAAUGGUAAACUGCUUAUGAAGUUUGCGUUUUCCAGGGACCAUGUUUCCCACAAUAACUGUUAGAUAUCAUCAACACUCAUGACAAUAUUAUUUAAAAAAAUUGGGUCCAAAACUAAGAUUCACAAAAUUACUAUAAAAUAUCUGCAUGUAAGUUUUAAAUGUUUCAGCCAUGGAGUUGAGCCUUGAACGCGAUGAGCCAUUUAGAAGCGGGUUUUUUAGGGUGAUCCGCAUCCACCCAUUGUUCUUCGAUCUUCACCGCAUCAUUGACAAAACAUCAGGUGGUAGAAGAACACGAGAGAGGAAGAUCUCAAGUUCUCAUAAGUCAUGUAAAUCCUUGUUGGUCGCCUCAGUAGCGUCAUUUCGACGUUUCAUCUAAAUUUUUUUCCUCUUUCCAAACUUCUUUGUACCUUUUUGUUUUCCAUCAACAAGUCGUCAUCACCACAAUUCAACUGAAAUCUGAAAGUUAAAUUUGGAGCAUUUUUUAGAAGAAGAAAUGGGUAUCCUCGAUCUCGGAACUUCUUCUUGUUAACCAAGAAAGGUGCCUCCAUUUUAUCUCCUCUGUCUUAAUUCUCAAUCACAUCAAAAGAUUAAGUAAAGAUGUUGAAGUCUUUUGAUUUGAGAAUCUUAUGAGCAUUGGGCUCAGCCGCAGUAGUAGUAAUUAAGAGGUUGGAGUCUUUUAAAAUGAGAAUGUUAUGAGCGUUAAGUUCAGCAUUAAUAGUGGUACCAAAGUUCAUAUUCUCACUUCACUGUAGCGAAGAGCAUCGAUUUCAACUCGGAUAAUCGCAUUUAAUUGUAACUUUACUUCAAAGUGGUUACUUUGCUUGAUGUGUUAGUGCAUUAGGAGUAUACUCUCGCUUACAUUCAGGAAAUAUAUAUGGGACUGUUGGAGCAUACACUUCUUAGUGAGGUUGAUUUUUAUAACUUAAAUUUGCUAGUGAGGUUGAUGUUUAUAAAAUAAAUGAAAUUACAAGUUUUAAAAUUGACUCAAAUACCUUGGCGAGUUUUGAAUUGUUAAUUUCUGAUUGAUGAAUAUUGUGCAGGCCAUUACAUGUUUUUGGUUGUCCCGCAGGCCAACUUGCUUAACUGCAUAUAUAUGGAGGGCGGGAUUGGUAUCAGUUUCAAAGACCGCAUCCUGCCGUGGGCUAUGACCUAAAUAGAACAGUUACCGCAGCAGAGCGAGACAUUUGGUCGCGGAACAACCCAAUUGCCAUCUCUAAUCACAGCCAGCACACAAAAAAACUUUGGCAUUCAUUUCCCUUUAUGAUUCACAAUGUCUCCUUCGAAACUUUUACUUCCUAACAAUAACAACAUGAAUAACUGUCUUUCUAAGAUCAUACUAAUAUACAUUACCAUACCAUCAACACAAGGGAUGUUUUCUGUC